UACGGGGGGGGCAAGCGUUGUUCGGAAUUACUGGGCGUAAAGGGCUCGUAGGCGGCCAACUAAGUCAGACGUGAAAUCCCUCGGCUUAACCGGGGAACUGCGUCUGAUACUGGAUGGCUUGAGUUUGGGAGAGGGAUGCGGAAUUCCAGGUGUAGCGGUGAAAUGCGUAGAUAUCUGGAGGAACACCGGUGGCGAAGGCGGCAUCCUGGACCAACACUGACGCUGAUGAGCGAAAGCCAGGGGAGCAAGCGGG
RNAcentral lists this ribosomal RNA (253 nucleotides) under uncultured bacterium. Its description in RNAcentral is "partial 16S ribosomal RNA". It matches the Rfam family "Bacterial small subunit ribosomal RNA", at positions 524 to 776 of the family's 1533-position model. The record is from RNAcentral.